UGUUUACUAAUUAAAAUUCAUUUACUUUCGAAUUGAAACUUGUUUUGAAGUUUACAUUACUAUGAACUUUGAUUCCAAUAAAUUCAUGACAAAUUUUGGGUUGGGUUAAUUACUUCACCAUUCUUUUUUGUACUCUGUAGAAAGAAACAUCAUGAAUUUUUAUUAACACUUGUUCUUCUCUAUCUCUCCAUUUGUUUCCAAUAAUUAAGCUGUCGAUUUCCUCUCUCUUCUCUCUAAUUUCUUGGGUCUGAAUUUUAUGAUUUCCACCGUUAAUAGAUUUCAAGAGCUAUGCAAGUUUGCAGCGUAACGGAUUCCUGAUCCCGAAGGGACUGUGAGUUAUCACCCGAGGAACCAAUACUUCUAUAAAAGGCAUUUUAGAUAUACAAUGUGAAAAUCAUAAUUUGGAAAGGAUGAGACAACUUGACAAAGUGGGGGAGUAUUAGUUGCUGCUGAAGUCACUUGGUCUGUACAAUUGUUGUGAUUGGUACAGCUUGCAAAAGAGUUAAAAAAUCUCGACGAAACACCUCCAGAAGGAAUCAAAGUGGGCGUUAAUGAUGAUGAUUUCACAACCAUAUUUGCUGAUAUAGAUGGCCCAGGUUUGUUUGAGUUUGAUAGGAUGACUUUGGAAAGGUUGAAGAUUGAAGAUUUGUAUAUUGAAGAAGAUAUGAUUUCUUUCUAAUGUAUUACAUAGAUUUUUUGUUAUUAUUUAUUUAAGUAAGGAUGUAAAUUAUUCACAA
Beta vulgaris subsp. vulgaris (sugar beet) is the source of this 737-nucleotide RNA transcript. RefSeq lists it as uncharacterized. NCBI's taxonomy places the organism in Eukaryota, Viridiplantae, Streptophyta, Magnoliopsida, Caryophyllales, Amaranthaceae. The record is from RefSeq and is a predicted model, not a curated record. The transcript has 4 exons.